AAGGGUUGACUUUAUAACUUCAGAAAUUCAUUUGCAAUUCACGUUUUGUUCCAUCCCAUGAAGGGCAGAUUUGUACUGUUUGUGACUUAGCAAUGGUCGAUUCUGAUGCUUCCAGUUUACUCUGCUCUCCUUCGCUGCUUCGCAGAUCAAAUAAUUUGAAAUGCUUCAUUGGAGUUAUUUCUGGCUUCCAAUUGCAGUACCAUAACCUUGUUGUUUCUUUGGAACAAAGAGGUAAGAAUAUCAAGUUACCAGUUGAGUUCCAAUCAUAAUGUGUUUCUAUAUUUUGGUUUUGAAUUCUACAUUAGCUUUUCAUCUCUCUUAUUCGGUUAACCGACUAACACAAAAUUCAAAUCCGAAUCUGAAGCCGAAAUCCGAAUAAAAAUUCGAAUAUAACCAAAUUGCAAAAAAUAACUGAAUUAUCAAGAAAUUUGGUUAAAUUUUUUUUGAUUCCGGUAGUUAUUCUGUUAUAUCCGUUUUUCGCUCAAUCCUCAGCACAAAUAUCUCCAAAAGAAAAAAAAUUCCUUUCUUGAUGUUAAAAACAAAGAGGUUUGGGUUUGAUUACAAAUGUUGGUCUUGCUAUUAGUAGAUCUAAGAGGAUGGAUGGGGGGGCCUAUCCCUAUGCCCAAGUAAACUACCACUGAUACAAUUAUUACUCCUCUUUGCAUAAUUAAUGAGGGAAAACAAGAAUCCUAUUUUCUUCGAGAUCUGUCUUGAGGAAGCGCUUUUAGGAAUAAGCUUCUGAUCAUUGGAUGAUCUGUUUUGGGUUUCUACAGAAAAUCCCACAUAGUUUUUGUUGUUCCAUAACCACCAUCACCUCCAUAGCUACCUUCACGACUACCGCUGCGGAUCAGAUCAGAUCUAAAUCAACACACAAACAGAUCUCGAUAUACAUACACACAGACACACACACACACACACACUUUCAUCUAAUUCCUUUUUCGUUCCGGUUCUGUAUCGAUCAGGUAAUAUGUUUGAAUGAUGAUUUUGCUUCGGAUCGGAUAAUAUGUUUUG
This 1011-nucleotide long non-coding RNA is filed under the name Panax ginseng (ginseng). Its description in RNAcentral is "long non-coding RNA (PGIN_LNC012738)". The record is from RNAcentral. Lineage: Eukaryota; Viridiplantae; Streptophyta; Magnoliopsida; Apiales; Araliaceae.